GGUUAUUUAUAUAGCUUACCGAAGACAGUUGGCGGCUUUGCCUUAAUUUUGCCAACCGAGGGAGAUACGUUGUUCACUACUAGAUGGUGAACUUUAUCCUCUAUGUCUUCAGUGACAUAGAGUUUUUUUAUUUAAAAA
Molecule: non-coding RNA, 138 nt
Organism: Aerococcus viridans
Lineage: Bacteria; Bacillati; Bacillota; Bacilli; Lactobacillales; Aerococcaceae
Source: Rfam